CUGUGUCCAGCGCCGGGUCCCGCCCGUCCCCGCUGCGCGCGCCCCCCAGUCCCGCACCCGUUCGGCCCAGGCUAAGGUAGCCCUCACCAUGCCGGUCAAAGGAGGCACCAAGUGCAUCAAAUACCUGCUGUUCGGAUUUAACUUCAUCUUCUGGGUUGGGGUCAGCGGGACUUUAUUUGGAUCUACCACAGGCCUUUUCAACCAAAGCCUUGCAGAAACAGGCUUUACCCCGUACACACAGAAGAGCGACGACUUCGUUAAGAGUCUGAAAAUCUGGCUUGCCGGGAUUGCUGUCCUUGCCAUUGGACUAUGGCUCCGAUUCGACUCUCAGACCAAGAGCAUCUUCGAGCAAGAAACUAAUAAUAAUAAUUCCAGCUUCUACACAGGAGUCUAUAUUCUGAUCGGAGCCGGCGCCCUCAUGAUGCUGGUGGGCUUCCUGGGCUGCUGUGGAGCUGUGCAGGAGUCCCAGUGCAUGCUGGGACUGUUCUUCGGCUUCCUCUUGGUGAUAUUCGCCAUUGAAAUAGCUGCGGCCAUCUGGGGAUAUUCCCACAAGGAUGAGGU
Molecule: small RNA, 561 nt
Filed under: Pongo abelii (Sumatran orangutan)
Lineage: Eukaryota; Metazoa; Chordata; Mammalia; Primates; Hominidae
Description: processed transcript
Source: RNAcentral